GCGAUGAAGACUGCCAGCCGCCUUACUAGGACUCAGAUUCCAUAGCCCUUCUCCUCCGGUUUACCGCGAUGAAGACUGUCCGCGCCUGAGCCUCCUUUCAUCGGAAGGAAGAAGAAUCACACACCUCCGGUUUACCGCGAUGAAGACUGCCCGCGCCUGAGCCUCCUUUCACCUAGGUCUUCAUCGUAUUUUCACUAGAAAUCCCAAUUUCGAAAAACCCUUGCCCGAGCCACAGCUCAUGAUUCUAGAGCUACCAGGAAACAAGUAGAGGUGGGGUCUAAAGUCAUUUUUGUUGUUCUUGGUGGUUCUGUUAUUAGAUAGCAUAUGAUCUAAAAGAAAAGAUUGUACAAUAAAUUAGCCGAUGAGGACAAUGAGUUUAGGGAAAUAGCCUAUUGUUCAUGAGAAUUACAGGCAGAAGAGAAGCUGGGUUUCAUGAUUUGGCAUCUCUGUUUCAUGCAAUCCUAAUGUCACUAUUGUUGGUAAAGCAUUUGGGUUGAAAGCAACUGCUCAAGUUUUGCACUUCUCUAAAUGUUUUAUAUUUUAUUCUUUUUCUUUUUGUAAAAGGUUUAUAUUUUAUUCUAUGUCUUUAUAAACAUAUAACCUAUUAAUGUAUAUUUCAGGUUGUAGAUCUACAGAUCUUUGUAGUAUGCAUCACCUUGAAACCUUUGGUC
Molecule: long non-coding RNA, 671 nt
Organism: Ipomoea nil (Japanese morning glory)
Lineage: Eukaryota; Viridiplantae; Streptophyta; Magnoliopsida; Solanales; Convolvulaceae
Exons: 3
Source: RefSeq, a predicted model, not a curated record